CUCCAGCAGACCAGCAUUUUAAAAAGUUUUUCUCUCUCAGGGGCAGGAGAUAUCUGGCAAUUCUGAAUGGCUGCUUGCAGAUAUGAUGAGCUGUCAAUACUCAUGUAAGAUUAUGUAAGUGACAUGAAACAAAAUUCUUAUAACCUUCAGCACUGUGGAAUCAGCUGAAGCUACGAUGGCUAGGAAAAAUGUCUGUAAUAAAUGGGUCAUGCAAUAAGUAUUUUUAGGGAACCCACUAUCAGCUACAUUUUUAUGCCUGGUUUGAUACAAAAUAUCUUCAUUGUCCUAAAAAGAGAAACAUUAAUUCUAGUGCAUUGCUGUGAGUAUAGUGACAGAAGAAGCCCAUCCUUAGGCUGGCUAGCCUUCCCUGUCAAUCCUAGACAGGCACACAACAUUCUUCAUCAUCAUGAAAGAUGUGGAAGAAGUCAGCUAGGCAGGUUGAAAGUCAGGGAAGGAACAAUGCAGCCGAGGGAAUUGGGGAUUUUUUAAGGAAAUGGCACAUAAUGGAGUAAGAUUGGGUAGAUGAGACGUACAGAAAUGAUACUAACAGCUGGGUAGGUCCAGGACACUAGAGAUCUUGAAUUUGAAAUGGAGUUUGAAUUUUCUCUACACAUAAUGAGAACUCGGUAAAUAAUUUUAAACAGCAGAGAGUGAAGUUAUCAGAUUAACAUUUUAGAAAGUUUACUCUGGUGAUUGUCAUGAAGGAUAGAGUAAAGCAACUAGGCACAGGCUACCAUGCUCUUGGGUGUUUAUAAAUACUUAGUUUUAUAUUACCUUCCACAAUGACUAGAUAUUGCUACCAGCAUUUAGUGGGAAGGAUCCAGAGAUACUAAAACUCCUUUGAGGUGCUGGAUAAUACUACAUCAUAAACAAUUGUCCUUCAUUGUGUUUCCAGUGAAAAAUCCUCAUUUAAAUAAUGUGUAAACCAGAAAUAUACCUGCAGAAAAAUGUUGCUGUUAGUUUUGGCCUGUGGUUCGAUUUUUGUGUCCAUUUGUAUGAUACAAUUUAUUUGCGGUACUAGGGGGUAUAGAACAAAUAGUCUGAAUGCUAUUCAUAAUUCCCAGUAGGCUAACUCGAACAUUUUCUUUCUCCCUCAUGAAAGCUUAUCUAAAUACAAUGAGCUGUAUUCUUAUAAAGUGUAGUACUGAAUCUUCUCAAAAUCACCCAUUGUAUGUAGUACUUAAUAACUUAUUUGUGACAAAUCAUUUGCUAUGCAUAUCAUAACCGAUAAUGCAAAAACUACUGGCCUAGAGAGCGAUAGAUGAGGACAUCAAUCACAGAAAACAAGCAUAGAGGAGGAGAGGACUUGGAAAAAAAUAAAUAAAACCAGACUUUUGAGACCUACUCUACAGAGUGAUUUCUCUUAAACUUUAGGUGUUCAAGAGUCAUUAACACAAAAGUCCCAAUUCUCAGACAUCACUGCAGACUUACUGAAUUGGAAGCUCUGCAGUGGGGCCCAGGAAUCAAAUUCUCAGCUACCGCUCUGAUCCCAAGACACUCUGGCCAGCACUCAUCCUGGUAACAUACUUCUCUCAAGGACCCCUCACUUCAGACAAACACAAGAAGCCAAGCUUAUCUGUGACAAUACAGAUAACCCUCCUGCACAGGCACAGUGCUCCUUACCACCCUUCCUCCAAAAAAAGAACCAAUCAGAGAACCAUUCAGCUUACAGAUGUUUUAAUCAUUAUGUCCCUGCCAGAUUUUAAAUAAUUCUUUAGGGAAAUAAACCAGCACUUGUGCUCAUGCCUUUGUUUGCAAAGAAAGUUACUUGCAAUGAGCACCCAGAGAAUACUUAAGGGGAAAAACCACUACCCACCAUGGGCCAUGGCCAUGGAAGUAGACAUUCUGGGUGCUCAGGGCCUGGCUCUGCAAGGACCAAGGGGGCAGUUCUGGUGCCGCUUCAUUCUGUGCAGAAGCACAGGACCUGAGGCUGGAUAGUCUCUUCUAUUUUCAAGGUUUAAUUCUGUCAUUCCCCCAACCCCGGUUAAGGGUCUAGUAAGAAAGGGAAAGGAUAAUGUGAAAGAUGUAAUGAAAAGAGAAAUAAAAAAUAGCUUGUGCCUUUUAUACAUGUGCUCUGUGCUGAGGUUUCAUACCCUCAGAAAAGCUGAACUUCAAACACAGACUAAGUGCAACAAAGAGACUUUGGCCCCAGAAUCACAACUCAGAAAGGAAAGAAUUGGGGCAGCACCAGCUGCAGAACACAGAACAUCCUCUCUUUAAUGGGAGUUUCUAAGGGGUAGGGAUGGAGAUUCUUGUGAACUUUUUUCCCCCUCCACUGCAGCCUAAGACAGGAAGGCAGCAGAUGGAUAAAGAGGAGGAAUUCUUUUUCUUCAGGGGAGCAGCAUAAUUGUGAUUUUUAUCCCCCAACGUUCUCUUCAGAUGUCUGCAGGUAACUCUGACUUCCUCUCUGGUAACACUUGUUUCUAUAUUAAAGAGCGCAUGGCCAAAAAACAUUCCAUAGCCUGUUGAAAACUACAUCUAUGUUGGGCUUGUAGGUUAUCUAGGAUGCAUUUUCUUCAGUCCUGAACCUCUAAAUGAAUGAAAUCCCUUCCAUUCAAAUGUGCUUCCUGGGCUUAGAGGUCUUGCUUAAUUGAAUAUGACUAAGUCUGGUAAAACUUGCUCCUGGCCAGAGCUGCCUCCUUUAUCAAGUCCUGAACAGACCAACUUGCAUUUGGAUUGCUGGUUUCAACAGAUGUGCUGCUUUUCCUUAGAAUAUAAAUGUCAGCCAGAAGAAGAAACUGAAAGCUGAUAUUGCGCAGAUGAAGACAGAUGCGAUGAUGCAAGUAUGUCAAAUGCAGAAGAGAAGGCCAAGAAGGCAGCCACUGAGUUGCUUCUAUCUCUAUUGCCUCAUCAUUCAAAACCUCAAGGGCAGCAGAGACUAGGGAGAGCAAGAUGGGAAUAGAUUUAGUAUAAGAGGUAAGGCGUGGCAUCCAGUCAGACCAGGCAUGGAAGAUUGUUUGUAAAAAUGUGAAGAUCAGUUGGACACUGGGCUAGUUCAGUCCAUUCUUUCUUUUCUAAGCAGCAAACAUGUCAGAAUUGAAGGAAUAAGUCACCAAUCCUUACUCAGAAAGGAUGGGAAAGAAAAUGGAGCAGAUAAGUAAAGAUUUGAAAGAAAAAUGGCUGAAUCAAGCUGAACAGACUGCCCUUGUGGAUGUAGAAAGCAAGCUCAGAAACCAGAAUCUGAGGCUCCUGAGCUGGAAGUCUGAGCUGGAUGCAGAGGACUGGAGGGAAGCUCACAUACUAGAAAGGGGCAUCAAAGAGCUGACCUGUCAGGUAUCCCAAGGAACCGUUCCCUGCAUGUGGCUGCACUUUACCCUGCAUAGAUGUGCUCUUUCAGCCUUCUAGGACCCCUGCCGUGCCUUAUGGAUAUUUGAUCUCCCUCUGCAGCCGACAUUGAUUCACCCUCCUAGGGUUCCUGUGUUAUCUGUGGUUUUGGUCUGUCCCUUUUCAGAGCUGGCAGAGAACAAAAUGUGAGUGGCAACUUGCAAUUAGAAGUGAAAAGCUAUUUAUACCAUCCUUAUUUUUCACACCUAGUGUUUGCAGCACUUUUAGAAAGCUGCCUUCCUGUGAGAAGCUGAGUGAGAACAAUGUGUAAAUGAAGGGAUUGAUAGAGGCUCAGGAUGGCCACCUGCAGAUUACAUGGGAUUCUGACUAAUUGGAGCAGGGGACAGUUCCACUAUUUGCAGGUUGCACAAAUACCCAAGGCCACUGAGGACUCUGUUCUGAUGGUAGUCAGGGAAAGCAAAUACUAAAGAGCAGCCUAAGGCUUUCUGCAUCUAAUCUGCUAUCAUUGGUCUCAAUACUAUUGUAAUUGAAAAGAGGUGGGCAGGUUUCUCACAAGUAAUUAAUAUACUCCUAAAAUAAUGAUGCAGUCUUUCGCCUAAACUUUCACCUUAUGCCCUUUCUUCCUUUCUUUCUAGUGGAGCACACAGAUUCCCAGAUAGCAGGGUACUCCCUCAUCCACAUUCUAAAGCCAAGUGGCCUCCUGACAGUGUGUGCACAUACUUCAUUUGGUGAGCAUAGAUGCCAAAAGUCACUGUCUAGUCUGCUCACACUGAACAAAUAUAGCUUAUUCCAGUGAAAAGACAAACACAUCUGAGGCACUCAUUUUUUACAGCUCUUGACAAUUUUAAUGCAGAAUCUGCCAUCCUGAUUCUGGCUCCUGAGGCUGAAUUGUUAGGAAUGUCAGAGUUGUCCUAUUGCAGCAGGAAGCAGUGUUGAUAAGAAAGCAGAGUACUUCAGAAGCAUCAUCUUCAGCUAAUUAAGAUGCAAUGAGCUACUUGCACAGCUCUUAUUACUAAACAAGUGGUUCUUUUUCUAAGAUGAAAUAGUCUGACACUUCUUUAAACAAUGUGAGUAUAUCAAAGCCCCUGAAGAGUGAGCCUAGGGGAUGUGUGGAUAAGUAAAUCCUGUGGGAACAUGAAAGUUUGCUAUUCUUUCCUCCUGUGGAAGAGGGUGCGGAAGCCACUCAUGUUGAUAGGGUGAAAGCCUGCUUGUUAAUAAUGUCUGGGGAUUUUCUUUUUUGUUGUUUUUUUUUCCUAUUGUGUUCUUCACACAACUUCAUUAUAGAACAAAACACCAAAGCAAUAAUGUUUUGGUUUUCAUUGUCCUGAGGAAUACAUUGUUGUGCUAUUCUGUCCUGUCUUUGUUUCUUCGUUGUAAUAACCUUAGUGUUUCUGAUGUACUAAUACUGAGGUGCAUUUCUUAAUUUCUUUCAAGUGUCUGCACAAGGCUUAGAGCAGAUCCAUUCAAUUAUGUAAUUUUUUUCUACUGUUAAAUUCCUACUGAGCACCUAUUUUAUGUAAAAUAUUGGAGUAUUUAUAUAAAAUAUAAAGAAAAAUCUUCUAUAUUUUUGAAACCAA
Heterocephalus glaber (naked mole-rat) is the source of this 4862-nucleotide non-coding RNA. NCBI's taxonomy places the organism in Eukaryota, Metazoa, Chordata, Mammalia, Rodentia, Bathyergidae. The record is from RefSeq and is a predicted model, not a curated record.